Molecule: ribosomal RNA, 486 nt
Filed under: uncultured bacterium
Lineage: Bacteria
Description: partial 16S ribosomal RNA
Rfam family: Bacterial small subunit ribosomal RNA
Source: RNAcentral
AUUGAACGCUGGCGGCAUGCCUUACACAUGCAAGUCGAACGGCAGCACGGGUGCUUGCACCUGGUGGCGAGUGGCGAACGGGUGAGUAAUACAUCGGAACAUGUCCUUUAGUGGUGGAUAGCCCGGCGAAAGCCGGAUUAAUACCGCAUACGAUCCACGGAUGAAAGCGGGGGACCUUCGGGCCUCGCGCUAUCGGGUUGGCCGAUGGCUGAUUAGCUAGUUGGUGGGGUAAAGGCCUACCAAGGCGACGAUCAGUAGCUGGUCUGAGAGGACGACCAGCCACACUGGGACUGAGACACGGCCCAGACUCCUACGGGAGGCAGCAGUGGGGAAUUUUGGACAAUGGGCGAAAGCCUGAUCCAGCAAUGCCGCGUGUGUGAAGAAGGCCUUCGGGUUGUAAAGCACUUUUGUCCGGAAAGAAAUCCUUGACCCUAAUACAGUCGGGGGAUGACGGUACCGGAAGAAUAAGCACCGGCUAACUACGUG